UAUCUCUGUAGAGUCUGCAUAUCAAUAAGCGGAGGAAAAGAAACUAACUAGGAUUCCCUUAGUAACGGCGAGUGAAGCGGGAAGAGCUCAAAUUUGAAAUCUUCAAGGUUUUACCUUGACGAAUUGUAGUUUAAAGAAGUGUUUUCUGUUGAAGUUUCGGUAAAAGUUCUUUGGAAUAGGACAUCAUAGAGGGUGAGAAUCCCGUAUUUGACCGUUACUUUCAGCUGUGUGAUACACUUUCAAAGAGUCGGAUUGUUUGGGAAUGCAGUCCAAAAUGGGUGGUAAAUUUCAUCUAAAGCUAAAUAUUGGCGAGAGACCGAUAGCGAACAAGUACCGUGAGGGAAAGAUGAAAAGAACUUUGAAAAGAGAGUUAAACAGUACGUGAAAUUGUCAAAAGGGAAGCGUUUGACACCAGUGUUGUUUUCUCGAAAAUCAAUUAAAAAAGGCUUGGAUUUUGUGUUGUAUUGACCUUAUAAGCUUACUGUCACUCUUUUCAUGUCUUUUUUAAUGCACUUUUCGUUUAACAAGUCAACAUCAAUUUCUUUUGUUGUAAAAGAGUCAUUGGAAGGUGGCUUUCACUUUCGGUAGAAAGUGUUUAUAGCCUUUGACUUCUGCAAUCGGAGAGACUGAGGUCUGCAGCGUAGAUCCUUCUGGAUUAGAUUCAUUAGAUGCUAAGUUACUACCGUUUUAUAGACAACUUGUUGACUAUAUUAGAUCCUGUAGCUUACUCGCUUAUGCUAAUUUUACCUACGCUUAGGAUGUUGAAGAUGUAGCACAUCAU
RNAcentral lists this ribosomal RNA (781 nucleotides) under uncultured Neocallimastigales. RNAcentral describes it as "partial large subunit ribosomal RNA". It matches the Rfam family "Eukaryotic large subunit ribosomal RNA", at positions 24 to 620 of the family's 3401-position model. Lineage: Eukaryota; Fungi; Neocallimastigomycota; Neocallimastigomycetes; Neocallimastigales. The record is from RNAcentral.